ACUUCUGUUGACGUUUGGGUUUCUAGGGUUCAAACAACAAUGGAGGUUUGGAGGUUUGGAAAGGUUGUCUGAGACAGUCUUUGUAAAGAGUCUCUGGGUCGAGCUUCGUUGGUGUCGUUUCGUAUGAGAUUCUUCUCCUCCAACCAUUACGAGAUGCAUUGAUCCAUCACUCAAUCAAUGCAUAUUCCCUCUCUACAAGGCGGUGAUCUCCAGCUAUAAAAAGGUGAGCUUUCAUCCCGUUACCAUCAUUUUCAUAUUGAUUGUUCAUAUGCAAUUAGUCUCUGCGUUCAUGUUGGCCAUCCAAGCUCCUUUGCCGCUGAAUCAUCAUCACCAUCAUACAGGAUCUAACCAUGUAACGCCUCUCACGCUAGUUGACCUGUCAAGAACCUCUGCUAGAGAUAUUCAGUUCCUGUCGACAGAGAAAUCGUGGAGAAGAUGGUAUACAGACUUUAAACUGUGAUUUCAAGUGAGGAGAUGGUAUACAGACUUUAAACUGUGAUUUCAAGUGAGGAGGUUGGUCUUCUAAAUAUGCUUUUUGUUAGGCACUUUGAGUGUUUGAGAGUAGAUGGACUGAGAUAACAAAGGUGGGUUCAUGCAGUAAGGAUAAUAAUGUGAAGAACAUGUUUAAGCCACGUUGUUGUAAGAAGAGAGCCAAGUAUGAAACGAUGGACAGCAAGAACAGCUCAAACAAGAAAAUAAUAUUGUUCUUAGACGAUUGUACUACUCCAGUAAAGACGAAUAUGAAAAUUAUAUUGCCAAGAGAACAAGGAACUUGCUCCAUAUAAGGGAUUGGGCUGAGGAUGAAGCGAGAAGAAAAACAGAGCAGGAUGUGUUAAAAAAAAAAGAACAAGCAAGCAAGAAGUGUUGGACGAAGGCAAGAAGCUAGAGGACACUGGGAAAAGUAUGGCCUAGAAAUAAUUGUUGAAGGUGAACUACAUGAACAUACAACAACUGCGUCUACGUAGCUGAAAGUGGGAAUGCAAAAUCAUGUCGAAGGCAGCAUGAAAAGAGCUUAAAAAAUAUGGUUGCUAAGCUCAAGAAGAUGGCGAAAAGAUGUAGGAAAUAAAUCCACACAUAAGUUAUCUACUCUAUUAAAAAAACAGAUACGUCUGUUCAUAUCAUCAUUGAAAGAAUAGGUUUAUGGAUUAAGCAAUAAAUAUUAAGACAUGAAAAAUGAAAACCAA
This is a long non-coding RNA of Brassica oleracea var. oleracea, 1184 nucleotides long. RefSeq lists it as uncharacterized. The transcript is spliced from 6 exons. The record is from RefSeq and is a predicted model, not a curated record. NCBI's taxonomy places the organism in Eukaryota, Viridiplantae, Streptophyta, Magnoliopsida, Brassicales, Brassicaceae.